Long non-coding RNA from Oncorhynchus nerka (sockeye salmon), 534 nucleotides. RefSeq lists it as uncharacterized. The transcript has 3 exons. The record is from RefSeq and is a predicted model, not a curated record. NCBI's taxonomy places the organism in Eukaryota, Metazoa, Chordata, Actinopteri, Salmoniformes, Salmonidae.
CCUUUGUGAAAGCAAUUACUUUUUAUGAAUUUCAUCAACGCGGUGGAACCUCUAUAGCAAAGGGGGGAGCGCAGUGAGGAUUAUAGUCGCCGCUAAAAGGAAAUAGCAAUAUGUGAUUGAAAAUAUAUGUUCUGAUAUAAUUUAGUUAGACGACCUCCCCCUCGUUAAAAAAAAUGUUUUAUUAUUGUGCGAUUUUCUAUGUCUAUUCGGAGAGAAACAUGUCCUUCGAGACAAAUUCAUUUCAUCCUCACCUGGAAUUACAAUGGAAAAUGUAGGCAUGAUCAGUUAUUUUCCGGGAAUCACAAUUAAGAUCCAAUGUUGGUGAAUGGACUACUAUACAUCCGGAAACAUGGUGACGGGCCUGACGACCACAUCUAAAAAUGGACCAUCAUCUUAUUGCCCUUUGAAUACAAUCAGCGACACGCAGUGUCAAUUUAGAAUAAGUAAAGACGUAGAAGUUUGAAGAAAACCUCAAACCUGGAUUACGUCAUCAUCACUGUCUUGGCCAGGUGGAACAACUAAGGGGACGCCCCC